GUCUCGUGCCCGUGCCGUGUCCUGUCCUGUUGCCUGGCGCCAGCCCGUGGACAGCCGCGGGGCCCUCUGGUGAGUCGGGAGCUCGGGAGCGGGAGGUGGCCUGCAGAGGCCCUGUGUUGGUGCUGGCCUGGCUCCCCUGACUCACAAUGAAAGCCCAGACCUCGAGUCACUUUCACAGAGAGGUUUAUCGAAUGCGAACAGCACAGGAUACAGUACUUCCCAACAAAAGGUGCAAACGCGUCACUUCGAAAGGCAUGCUGAGUACUCUUUGCUUCACAGGUAUUAAAAACUUACAAAAAUAAAAUAAAACUGCGUGCUGCCCAUCUUUUCAAAUAGUAAAAGAACCUUAUGAAAAAACCACUUGAUUUUACAACAAAAGACACAAACGGACAUUUUUAUGUAAAUUUAUAAGGCAAACUCUUUAUAUAAUAAAUAGGUUACAGGGGUUCAGUGGGGGGUGUUUUUGAAACGUAUACAGAUACAUUCAGACAGGUUUACUGAAAUGGUACAAAUUUCCUUAAUAAAUUGCCUUUUGUUUUUAAAUAUAUCAGUGCUUUCAGUCAUUUGGCUAUACACAAAGAACCUUUUUGAACACUACAAAAAAGCAAUCAAUAUCUUUGUUUUUAAAACAACCUACUUAUUUUCUAAAGUAAUUGUCCCAAAACACAAAAACUGAAGGUGAAUGCGACAGAGGGCUUUUCAAGACCCCUCCAGCUAAGUCUGCCCCAGGCCCAUCCCCGUGCCCCAUGAACCCCUCUGGCGUCAGGUGGCAGCCCUGUCCAUCCUGUGGAUCUUGGCCUCCAGGAUGGCACAGGGGACUGGGACUUGGACUCAGAGGGGGACAGCCUGCCUGCUUCCGGGCGCUAAGCUCCAUGUGCAAAGGUCAUUCCAGCCCCACUGUCCUUGCCUGAAGGUGAGCCCAGAACAACGUCUAAGGAGGGUAACUGCAUCAACCAAGAAGGCUCCACUCGCUCGCCGAGGGGAGGGAAGGGCUUUGUUAGCUCAGGUCCGAAUCUCUCUGAGGACUGAACCACUGGCACUGGCUCACCCCAGCACAGUGGGGAGUAGUGAAGUCAUGUCAGUGACAGGAUGGGGAGUGACAGAAGUGCCUGGGGGCCAAGGAUGCCCUGCGCCCAACCCAGCCAUAUCCAGGAGGAGCUGCCAGGCAGGGCGUGGCUAAGCCCGCUCCGCCUGUGAGCCUGUGACCGUGACCUGUGACCUGCGCACCAGGCCCCUCCUUCCCUCAGCUCUCCAGGAAGGAGGAUGAAUCUUGUCUUUACUUACAGAUAACAAUGCUAAUAAACUGGGGGUGGGCAUCGCUGUGGAGAGAAUCCACUGCGUGGAACAAAAGCUGCUUGUGCUUGGUCUCUGCAAAUGGCAACCCGUCAGCCUACCCAGUCUGUUGGUGGAGCAGGACUCCCAGGGGGUCUCAGGCCCAUCUGGUAGGGGUUAUCGCUUUGAUCGCCCUUCAGGUCUCAGUCACCGUCCCCCUCCCUCCGGAAUGCUCUGCUUGGAAAGAAAAGGCAUCUGAAGCAUUUGUCUCUGGAACAAUUACUUUAAACAUGGUUACAAUACAGACUUCAGUUCAAACACAGAAGAGAUUUACUUAGCAAAGUUCCUUUCACCCACCAAAAAUUACACAAAUAGAAGCCUCCACACCACAGUUAAGAGGACCAGUAGAGAAAACCUCCUGUUUGGAACACAAAAGGAGAAAUAAAAACCAAACCAAACCCAAACAGAGAAACCCCAGAGAGACAAGGGGGGGCGGGAAGGCAGGGGAGGAGGAGCAAACACGGCACAGUUACAGUGUCCAGGUACACGGAGCCCUCAAGGGAGGGCUCGGCACGAUUGAUAACAGUCCUGGUGAUAUUUGGUCAUAUAUUCGGCUACUGACUCUGGAGCAGCUGUCAUUGAUUGAAGCAUUGAAAAAUCAAAUGGAAAGGAGGCCGUGGUAGUAGGGAAGGAGCAGGCUCCGCAUCUGCAGCCUUCGCACUCCACUGUCCAGCUCCCAGAAGCACUGAGCUGGGUGGCCCUGCUCCAUCCGGCCGGGGCUACAGGUCAGCGGGACAGGACGCUACCUUGUCGGGAAGCAAAGCACACACGCGGACACAUGCGGACACCCACCAUUGUGGCCGGACGUCAGCAUCAGCGGCACCGGCCUCUGCUUCCUGCACCCCUCCCAGGCGGGCUGGGAGAGAACUGUGCAGCCUGAUAAUACUGAGCUUGGGGAGCGGCCCAGCCCUGGGACCCCUGGGAGCCACCAGGGGCUGCCCCAGCCCUUGUCCUCGGGGGCCUGUGACCCACUGUUGGAUGCUGGCCUCAGAAGAAGCAUGAUGCAGAGGGGAAGAUUUUGGCCCUGGUGAUUAUAAUGCUCUCUGCUUUGGAAGAACGUUUCUGGAUUCUGUUUUUUUGGUGUUUUUUAAUGACUUAAUAAGUGAUCAAAAAGAACUGUUACAGCUAACCUCUCUAGCAGAUAUUGCUCAUUAAGGGCUACAAAAGCAAAUGCAAUUACUCAUGGGAGGGGGAGAAUAGAAAGGGACAUGGAUGGAGUCUUUGCUACUUCCCGGAGAGGACCUCUGGACUGUCUGGCAUGGGUCUGGGGUCCCUGGCAUUCUACCUGGUGUGACCUCUCCUCUCCCCCUCAAGCCCCCAGGCUUGUCACUGGGUGGGGAGCCUUCCCCGCCUCCACUCUCCGUCCCGCCUCUGCUCAGCACAGAGAAGCCCUCAGGAGGGGGAAAGACCACAGAUCUGCUUGGACCCAAGAAGCGACCAGCAGACAGAUUUGUCAUUUUUUUUCUUUUUUUUUUUUUUUUUAAUUUUCCCUUGUCCUAUGCUAUGGUUAUCAGAAAUAUUGUAAUUAAGCAACAGGUAUAAUUUUAACAGGUUUUUUUUGUGUGGAACCACAAGCAAAAUGAGUUUAUAAUUGUGCAAUAUACACACACACACACACACACACACAUAUAUAUAUAUAUAAAAAUUCAACUGCUUUGUGUGUCUAGUUGGUGCAUAAAAUAAAAGGGACAGGAGAACUAAAAGCAAAACUCAAAAGCAAAACAAAAGCCCAGGGCAGAGGAGACCAAGCAGGCCUAUGCAUAAUCUCUAAGUUACUGGAUAGGGUCAGGGUCACGAGGAAGGACAGCUUUGCCACUUGACACAAACACCGCUGGGAGAGGGGUGACGUGGCAGGAGCGGAGCCUGUGGCCUCUUCGGCACAUCUCUUCUCACUGCCGAGCAGGACCCGACAAAGGCAAGACAGGCAGAAGGGGGCAGAGACCUGGCAGCUGCCCACAUGCUCCUGAAUUCAGAUGCGAGUCUGUUCCCACAAAGAGAUCAAUAGAUCAGGCUGGGGCCUGUCCUCCCUCCCCACUGUCCCUGGGGCCCCACCUAGCUCCCUGGACACCACUCUGUUUUCCUGGCCCCAGCAAGGAUGGGGCCAAAUCUGCCAAGGUGAGAGGUGCCCGGGGUGGGCGGUAGGGUGGGUGGUCUAGGCCUCAGAGACCACUAGUGAGUCAGCCUCACAAUGCCAACGCCCACCCCCUCCCCCUUGAGACAGUGUCAGAAGCGGUGUCCCCAGCAAUGGCAACCCCAGCAGUGACAAUGACGAGGCCCCUGACUCGAGUUCCCUGUGCCUGUCACAUUCACUAGAUAUCUCAGGCUGAGUACUAAGUAUUUUGGGAUUGGCAUUUUUGCAAAAGCUUGCUCUUAUUCAGAAACAUCAAAAUGUAAUUUUCUGCCAAAUGUUUUCUAGGUUUUCCUUGUACAUUGUUAAGAACUGAUUUCAAUGUUCAAUUUUCCCCCUUUAAUAAGUAAUUUUAGACCCUGGAGGAGGCAGUAUCCUAGCGAUUUAUAACAAUUAGGCCUAAGCCUUUUCUAAAGAUUGAUACAAUAUCUAAAAGAGAAAGACAUCAAAAUGGAGAGAAUCAACAAAUCCUUUCAGAACAGAGCUGUUCGCGGGUGCAGAGAGCAGGACAGAGGAGAGGAAGAGGACAGAGGGCAGAAGGCUCGUCCAGCCGGCCCUGUGGCCACUUCCCCUGGCCCCGUGGCCGAAGCUGGAGCCCUGGAAAGCAUGGACUCGCUGAGGCCUAGGCCAUUGGUCCUGGAAUCUGUGGGCGUGAACUGGAGCCGGGAAAUGCAGUGGGGCACGGACCCAGGCUACGAACCAAUCACAGAGGUCUCCCCCAAGAGCCACCGAGUGCUCAGAGAAGGGGGUACCCGGAGCUCUGGCUGCUGGACUCCGGCAAGCUAAGAGACAUCAACACAGUCCUACCCGGUGGAUUCAGUCCAUACUCUGUGGCUCUCUCCUGGGCUGGAGCCACUUAGUAAAAGUUACUUAAAAUUCCGAGGUCCUGCCAGCUAUGGAAACUUUUCCCACUAAGCCUGGCAGUUUGUUUCUGGUCGUUACACUCUUUCAUGAUCACCAUCACAGUAAUGACAAACGGAGGCUGCUCCGGGUCCCACUUCCAAUGUUGGUGGUCCCUGGCAGACUCAUCCGGACUCACAUCGGGGUGGUGGCUUUCACCGUCCCAAGCUGAGAGGCUGAGCUCCUUGGCUAGUUUGGCACUGAUCGACUGGGGCAGGUGGCAUUUCCAGGUGUCCGCUGUGCCACAUAAGGAGCUGUACUGGGCUGUGGCCCAGUAACCCAGAUCACUACAACAUCAAAGUCGGCUUCUCACUGGCUGUGUCAGAGUCACCAACGCGCAGGGCUGGGCCAGGCCCCCGCGGACAUACCUGGGAGGACAGACGGGUUCCUUGGGGAGAGGAGGUAGUAACUAAUGACUAACAGGGUGGGAAACUGUGGGUGUGUCCUUAAUGACGUCGCCCCAGGGUAUCUGAAAGCUGACAGUCACUGAAAAGUGCCCCCAGUCUUCAUAGUGCUCAAGUACAGACAGAAUUGAGGUCACACCCCAAAACUGGGCUGGACACAGCUGGUGAGAAUCCCGUGGCUUAAGGCUUUCCCUCAGACCUCCUGUCACCCUGACCCCACGGCGGGGGCCUGGGAGCAGCAGGGCCCUGCCUGCGAGGGCCACAGACCGCCAAAGCUGCCUGCCGAAAUGCGACCAACUCACGAUGCCCUCCUUUAUGUGGGGGUAGGAAGCGACGGGGCAGAGGGGCACAGAGGAAACCCUAUGGAGCUGCAGGCACUGCCUGUGGUCUUAAAACCAACUCUAAGGGAGAGAAACUGGGAGCAGGGGGCUACAGGUGGGGACCAACUGAAGGAAAACGACACCGAAACGCCCAGAGGCCCAGGCCUGGGAUGUGGGGCCCACACCCCUCUUCCUGGGACCACAUUCCACCAGACUGGGCAGAAAGGUGCACGCCAACCCUGCUGACCACAACAGACAUCUUCUUGUCGCCAACCUGGCCGGCUGCCACGCCUGUGUGAGUAGGUGUCCUUUGGGGGUGCCGGGAGUGCGAGGCCACUGUGGGGCCAGGGGCCUUUUGUCCUUGGAGGAAGAGGAGUUUCAAAGUCCUCGUCCCUUCCUACGACCCCGCUCCCUUCCCCUUCCUGGGGAGGCGGAGGAUGAGCGCAGAGCGGGUGAAGGGGCCAGGCUGGCGGAUGGGAGUCGGCUGUCGGCACAGGGAGAGGGACACGGAGAGGUUAAAGUCCGACUACAACUACAGAACAGAACAGGCGGACUCCCUCGCUCCCAACCGUCACGGAGACAGACAUGGGUUAUCUGAAGCUAUUGAUUGGAACUGUCAACUAGGGUUCUGAUCACUAAGACUGGCAAGGAAGUGCUAGACAGUUUCUAUGAUGUUUCAUCCUUCAUGAUUACACCGCAGUAAGGAAGCCGGGGGACAAGAACUGAAAUACACGAGACAACACGCACUUGACAGUUCAUGGCAGCAGCUCACGCAGGACGUGCCUGUGGGUGUUUCUGGAAGGUAAGACUGCUGUCUCAUUUGCUACUUUGAUAAGGUACUUCUCAGUUGGACAGAUUUAGAUAUAAGAGACAUCUCUGUAAACACAGAAAAGGAUAUACCAAUAUGAUGAAGAUAUGCAGCUAGAUAAGGACUUCCUGAUCACAGGUGAGAACUUUGGGAUCCCCAACAGAAAUGGAGCAAGCCUCUAACCCCACCCCACACUCACAGGGGAGACUAGAGGCCGCCAUGUCCUGGCCCCGCCCUGUCUCCAGCGAACAAAGCAAGCGACUCCACAGGAAAGGAUUCAGUGGGGAAAGGGCGAGCAGAGGGGGCCAGAGCCCAGGUGCCAGUACCAGUCCCAGUUCAGGGCUUGUUACCCGCUGCCCUGCCACAGUCUGCUAGCCCUGCUGGGCUCCUCAGUGACUGUGGCAGGCCGGCCCCUGGACACUGGAUGUGGCCAGCAUCCCUGGCCUGCUUCCCUUGAGCACAGGGAAGGAAAGGCCUACAGGGCAGAUGCUAAGGCCCUUGCCUUUUUCUUAGCAGGGAAGAGGGUGCUGCCCUCCCGCUCCUCAUAGAGGCCACAGUGGACUUCAUGUGCCCAGGGUGCAGGCAAUGGGGCUGAGUGGGGCUGGCAGCGAGGGCAAAGGCUGCAAGGGCUGUAGGGGCUGGGGCUGACCAGAGCAGAGCGGCUUGGUGUGUGGGUGGGUACCGGGGCUGCCCGGAGAGAGAAUGAGCUUGGAGGCAGGAGGAUGGGAGAAAUGAAAGGGUAAAAUGAAUGGAAGGCAGAGAUGGAAGGGCAGAGGAGAAACUAAUCAGGAAGUCCUUAUGAAAUUGCAGCAAACACUUAGAGUUUCGGAGCUUCGUGGGAACCCUAUGUGCUGAGCCCACUUUAAAACAAGCGCAGGUAUAUACAGAUCCAGGUAGUUUGGAACACCAUCACAUCUGGUGGCUCAAGGGACAGUGUCCCCAAUUCAAGCCAGGUUGCUUUCGGAGCAUGUUUGUUUUGAAGUGGGAACAUGAAGACUCAAUAGUGCAAAUAAUUCUAUGCUGUCCCUACAGGAGAACUGGAAAGUAAUUGGAAGAACAGUUUCGAGACUCUCCUGCCUGUGCCCCCUAGCCCGUCCGGACAUCCCUAACUACCAGUCAGGCUACUCUAAGCGACUAGGAAUCUCUCUCCUGUCCCACCCGCAGUGCUGGGUCAGCCAGGUGCGGUGCGAUGUGGGGUGUGGCCAGUGGCCUGUGCCUGUCCUGGCGCCACCUCCCAAGAACAGGCGACCUCACCUCACCCUGGGCUAUCCUCUCCUGUGGCUCAGGCCAGUCUACACUCGAAGUUCAGGGCUCCCCCUGAGCCGAGCUGGCGCUGGAGCAGACAGGUGCCACUUUCCUGUUCUGUGAAAUGUCCUCGUCAGUUUUGGAUUGGGGCUGGUGUGGGGCCAGGCUUGUGCCGCCACGUCUGGGAUGGUGCGGGCCGCAGCCACUGGCCAUCUCCCUUGUCUUCUUUAAAGAAUUUGACGGUCUCUCUGCUUCGCCUCCUUAUCCCACUGUGGUUGGGGGUGGGAGGUGGGGGAGCUGGGGCACCGUGGGCGGGGCACUGAUGGCACCAAAUGAGAGUGUCCUCUCGACUGCUGUCCGUCCCUAACAUCCCUAACGACUGCGACUGGGUGGGGAAAGGUGGGGUGGGAAGGGAGGUGCCUGGUCAACAGCUUGUCUGGUCAGUAGUAUCUGCAGCAAGCCUUGUUGAAGGAGCCUAGUUUAGAAAAGUGCAAAGCUACUUCUGGCCCUGGUUAGGUCUUCAACCUGACUGUGCUUGUCGGUAAGAAAAACAUCCCCAAUGCUCCAACUACUCCCACCCUGAAGCCACGAAACUCUAAGUUUACUGAAAGAAAAAAAAAUAUUUUUUAUUUCAGUUAAUCGGGAAGCUUUGUCAGAGCCCUACCCAUAAGGAGAAGAGACAACAGCUGCCUUUAUUCUUGUUGGUUUGCUUUGCAAUCCGCGCUGAGUAAAGUCAGCUAACUCUCUCGGUCACGGGCGUCCGGCUGUCCACAGGCUCCUCUCUGUUUGGCCUCGGCAUGGAGGACGAAACAAUGUCUUUGCGCUCUCCCUCCCCUCGGUGUUUGUACUUUUCUGCAGCGGGGGCCGGGCGGGGGGC
This is a long non-coding RNA of Heterocephalus glaber (naked mole-rat), 8014 nucleotides long. Lineage: Eukaryota; Metazoa; Chordata; Mammalia; Rodentia; Bathyergidae. The record is from Ensembl.